RNAcentral lists this ribosomal RNA (169 nucleotides) under uncultured Streptococcus sp. Its description in RNAcentral is "partial 16S ribosomal RNA". It matches the Rfam family "Bacterial small subunit ribosomal RNA", at positions 1214 to 1382 of the family's 1533-position model. Lineage: Bacteria; Bacillati; Bacillota; Bacilli; Lactobacillales; Streptococcaceae. The record is from RNAcentral.
CUACACACGUGCUACAAUGGUUGGUACAACGAGUUGCGAGUCGGUGACGGCGAGCUAAUCUCUUAAAGCCAAUCUCAGUUCGGAUUGUAGGCUGCAACUCGCCUACAUGAAGUCGGAAUCGCUAGUAAUCGCGGAUCAGCACGCCGCGGUGAAUACGUUCCCGGGCCUU